Molecule: long non-coding RNA, 261 nt
Organism: Lineus longissimus
Lineage: Eukaryota; Metazoa; Nemertea; Pilidiophora; Heteronemertea; Lineidae
Exons: 2
Source: RefSeq, a predicted model, not a curated record
CUCUCCGUUCUUUGUGAUGGGAAAGAAUCCCUGUUGGGAUCUACCAGAACAGAGGCAACCAUCUUGGUGUAAACCAGGCUGCCAUAAAGUUUUCGACAACCGGUAGAAGUACCAGGCUGUAUCAAAUUCUGGAGUGAAACGAACGCAUGUCGUGGUUUCUGUAUGUCCGAAUCCUAUCCAUCCCUUGAUGAUAUCCUCCAUAUUGCACCAAAACAGAAGAUUACGACAGCCGGAAGGUGUUGCGUGAUGAAACCUAAAAUG